This 207-nucleotide ribosomal RNA is filed under the name uncultured bacterium. RNAcentral describes it as "partial 16S ribosomal RNA". It matches the Rfam family "Bacterial small subunit ribosomal RNA", at positions 568 to 774 of the family's 1533-position model. The record is from RNAcentral.
CGCGUAGGCGGCCCCUUAAGCGUGUGGUGAAAGCGCGGGGCUCAACCCCGCGUCGGCCAUGCGGACUGGGGGGCUGGAGCACGUCAGAGGCAGGCGGAAUUCCGGGUGUAGCGGUGGAAUGCGUAGAGAUCCGGAAGAACACCGGUGGCGAAGGCGGCCUGCUGGGACGUGGCUGACGCUGAGGCGCGACAGCGUGGGGAGCAAACA